AAUGACAUCUACUCGUAGAGUUUAUUGGCUGAUCUCUGAGUUACGCAAACACACAAACAAACACACACAGCGAGCAUCACCGGGGUAUCUAUGAAAUGUCACUCGCAUUUCUAGUCACCUGAUGAGGGCUUAAAAGUGAUCAUCUGACCCCCCUGACAGAUACUAUGAAGGGCAGGGAUCUACUGUUGCAGGGAAGGAGUGUGUGUGUGUGUGUGUGUGUGUGUGUGUGUGUGUGUGUGUGUGUGUGUCUUCUUGGUACAGUCAACAAAAGCCGUGGUGACCAUGACAACAAACAGCAAAGCAGUGGGUGGGGCAGAUGCCGCCUCCUGCGUGCUGUCCAAUUGCAUCCUGCUGUUUAAUAAUAGACGAUAUCAAACUGCUGGAAACAUUACAAAGGCUUACAGCGAUGAGACAGCACAAAAAAUAUAAAAGGAGCUGACGAUGUGCACGUCCCAACACAACACACCCACCCUCACGUAGCCAUUCCCCACAUGCUCCUUUAAGCCGCCUUGUGACUACUGUAAAUAAUACUGACCGGGGCAGAGCAGGGGGGGUGCAGAGCUCUAGGCCCCCCCCACUCCUCCCCACUCCUUGCACCAAUCCCUCCUUAGUGGAAUGUGGGUGAGGGUGGGUGACAGCUGCCAGAGGGACCUCGUGCUGUCAAAUGGAGCUGAGAUUGGAGGGAUGGAGGGGUUUGGGGAUGAAGGGGGUGAUCGUAGCUGUUAGGGCGGCUCGGCAUGUUCAGGUAUGUGCUGACACGGCUCGUUUCCACGGUGACACAGCAGAGCGAAGGUUCGACUCAGCAGGUUAGGCGGACAGGCCAGUUUACAGCUUUGACCUACUGCUGGGACAGAAGCAUGUCAUGUGCUGAUGUCCACUCCGUUCUUCAGGAAGUCCAGGACUUUGUCAAUGUUUCCCGCUCUGGCAGCCCGCAGGAAGCUGGUGUUACUGUCCGACUGUAGACACAAAAUAGGAAGACGCUUUCUCUCUGCCCUCUCACGAUGUCGUCUCCUCCGCUCUCUGGCUUUCUGCAUAGCUCGGUACUCCGGAUGCUGCUCCAGCUCUCGGGCUUUCUUCAGGUGGGCUGCAGCGUGAGCCAUGACUCCCCCUUUC
Long non-coding RNA from Labrus mixtus (cuckoo wrasse), 1113 nucleotides. RefSeq lists it as uncharacterized. The transcript is spliced from 3 exons. The record is from RefSeq and is a predicted model, not a curated record. Lineage: Eukaryota; Metazoa; Chordata; Actinopteri; Labriformes; Labridae.